UUCAGUCGCUGUAUCAGUUAUUUUACAGUCGUCAAAUGACCGCCGCAGGGAGACUUGUUCAGGCAUCCCCCCCCCCUCGCCCCAAUGGAUACUAGAGGGUCCGAAAUUUCCUGCACCGUAACGUUCUUCUCUCUAUCUGCACUUUCUAUAAUUUUUAUAUAAAAAGAUGGGCAAGCCAUUUAACGUGUCCUGUCGUCAUCGCAUUACUACACUCGAUUGACCACUUACUCUUUUGCAUCCUGUUCAGAAAGUCAAAGUCAUGCGAGCUGGAUUCAAGAGGAUCCGCACGGAGAUGUGGUGAGUGAAUCGUUAGACUAAAGAGGGACUGUCAACUUUACCGAAAUCGCCCAUCCAAGACAGAAAAAAGCUGAAGAUUUGAAAACAGUUAAUGAUACCGCAGAGUGAGGCGUAAAUCAGGCCAAUAUCAGAAUGUAAUAAUUUAUUAA
Long non-coding RNA from Bombus terrestris (buff-tailed bumblebee), 446 nucleotides. RefSeq lists it as uncharacterized. The record is from RefSeq and is a predicted model, not a curated record. NCBI's taxonomy places the organism in Eukaryota, Metazoa, Arthropoda, Insecta, Hymenoptera, Apidae. The transcript is spliced from 2 exons.